This 70-nucleotide transfer RNA is filed under the name Wetmorena haetiana. RNAcentral describes it as "Celestus haetianus tRNA-Tyr". The record is from RNAcentral. Lineage: Eukaryota; Metazoa; Chordata; Lepidosauria; Squamata; Diploglossidae.
UGAUAAGAAAAGGAAUUAAACCUUUGUAGAUAGGACUACAGCCUACUACCUUACACUCGGCCAUCUUACC